ACACUUAUCUGGCAGGGGGGAUUCCAUGAUCAUGAAGGUGGUUUCCCCACAGUGAGGCCUAUCCAUUGCACUCAAGUUGGGCUGACCCCUAUGAUUUCCCCAAAUCCGGGAAACUCAACUGCAUAAUUGUGGUGGGAGACUGCAUUCACAUUCUCCCC
This 158-nucleotide small nuclear RNA is filed under the name Phascolarctos cinereus (koala). RNAcentral describes it as "U1 spliceosomal RNA (ENSPCIG00000005491.2)". It matches the Rfam family "U1 spliceosomal RNA". Rfam says of the family: U1 is a small nuclear RNA (snRNA) component of the spliceosome (involved in pre-mRNA splicing). Lineage: Eukaryota; Metazoa; Chordata; Mammalia; Diprotodontia; Phascolarctidae. The record is from Rfam by way of RNAcentral.